AUAUAUGUGGUGCCUUAAGAGUUAUGCAUGUAUAUGUCUAUCGAAUUCAGAGCAAAUUUCUGCUCAAAGAGAGUACUCCAGAGAGAAGGCCAGCUGUGGUUUUCGUGAAUAGCACACAUGAAAACAAAGACUAGUUGAGUGAGGCCAUUACUCGAGGUCUUGGUUACUGGUCAGUAUGAUGAGCUUAACGUGCAUUAUCUGCAAGAAAGUUGCUUAAGUGUGCAGAAAAAAGGGUACAAGCCAGUAGGGGAAGGACCAGGAGAUUCAAGUGAAAAGGAAAAGGGUGCAAUACUGGUCAGGAUGCAUGCCAAAAGGCUCGAGAUGGAGAAGGAAGGAUUGCUAGGAACGACCAACUACAAACGGGGGGCAAAAGCGACAUUUCACAUGGAAAAGCAACCCUAAAUAUUAGGGCAAGCCACCCUAUAAAUAGAAAGUCACUUGGAGAGAGAAUGAGCACUUGUUCGAAAACUCACUCUCUCGGAUAUUCUUAGUUCCAGCAGCGGAGACUAGCUCCUACACUUCUCGUUCCUCGCCACCAGUCAUGAUCACUUGAAGACUCUGACGACCUGCCAGAGAAAGUUCACCACUGUUCCAGUUCGCCGUCAUUGUAGUGAAAAUACUGUUUUAUCGCCCGAGGGGCCAAACAAUCUUUAAUCGCUUUCUUAGUUUAAUUUCAGUUGUUGUUUCGUUUAGAUCUUUCGUUGUUUUUGGUUGUCUUUGGAUUCUGAAGCGUACCACCGUUUUGGAUCUGAUCUUUAUGAAGUUGAUUUUACUUUUCGUCUA
Salvia splendens (bonfire salvia) is the source of this 783-nucleotide long non-coding RNA. RefSeq lists it as uncharacterized. The transcript is spliced from 2 exons. NCBI's taxonomy places the organism in Eukaryota, Viridiplantae, Streptophyta, Magnoliopsida, Lamiales, Lamiaceae. The record is from RefSeq and is a predicted model, not a curated record.